This 253-nucleotide ribosomal RNA is filed under the name uncultured bacterium. RNAcentral describes it as "partial 16S ribosomal RNA". It matches the Rfam family "Bacterial small subunit ribosomal RNA", at positions 524 to 776 of the family's 1533-position model. The record is from RNAcentral.
UACGUAGGGGGCAAGCGUUGUCCGGAUUUAUUGGGCGUAAAGCGCUCGCAGGUGGUUCAUUGUGUCGUGCGUGAAAGACCCCGGCUCAACUGGGGAGGGUCGUGCGAAACGGGUGAACUAGAGGCCAGUAGGGGGAUGCGGAAUUCCGGGUGUAGUGGUGGAAUGCGUAGAGAUCCGGAGGAACACCAGCGGCGAAGGCGGCAUCCUGGACUGGUCCUGACACUCAGGAGCGAAAGCGUGGGGAGCGAUCCGG